Molecule: ribosomal RNA, 492 nt
Filed under: uncultured bacterium
Lineage: Bacteria
Description: partial 16S ribosomal RNA
Rfam family: Bacterial small subunit ribosomal RNA
Source: RNAcentral
AGUGAACGCUGGCGGUAGGCCUAACACAUGCAAGUCGAACGGCAGCACAGUAAGAGCUUGCUCUUACGGGUGGCGAGUGGCGGACGGGUGAGGAAUACAUCGGAAUCUACUUUUUCGUGGGGGAUAACGUAGGGAAACUUACGCUAAUACCGCAUACGACCUACGGGUGAAAGCAGGGGAUCUUCGGACCUUGCGCGAUUGAAUGAGCCGAUGUCGGAUUAGCUAGUUGGCGGGGUAAAGGCCCACCAAGGCGACGAUCCGUAGCUGGUCUGAGAGGAUGACCAGCCACACUGGAACUGAGACACGGUCCAGCCUCCUACGGGAGGCAGCGGUGGGGAAUAUUGGAAAAUGGGGGAAAGCCUGACCCAGCCAUCCCGCGUGGGUGAAGAAGGCCUUCGGGUUGUAAACCCGUUUUGUGGGAAAAAAAAAGCAGCAGGUUAAUACCCCGCUGUUCUGACGGUACCAAAAAAAAAAGCACCGGCUAACUUCGUG